GCCUGGCUAGCUCAGCUGGUAGAGCAUGCGACUCUUAAUUUCAGGGUUAUGAGUUCGAGACCCACGUUGGGCG
This 73-nucleotide transfer RNA is filed under the name Felis catus (domestic cat). It matches the Rfam family "tRNA". From Rfam's summary of the family: Transfer RNA (tRNA) molecules are approximately 80 nucleotides in length. Their secondary structure includes four short double-helical elements and three loops (D, anti-codon, and T loops). Further hydrogen bonds mediate the characteristic L-shaped molecular structure. tRNAs have two regions of fundamental functional importance: the anti-codon, which is responsible for specific mRNA codon recognition, and the 3' end, to which the tRNAs corresponding amino acid is attached (by aminoacyl-tRNA synthetases). tRNAs cope with the degeneracy of the genetic code in two manners: having more than one tRNA (with a specific anti-codon) for a particular amino acid; and 'wobble' base-pairing, i.e. permitting non-standard base-pairing at the 3rd anti-codon position. The record is from Rfam by way of RNAcentral. Lineage: Eukaryota; Metazoa; Chordata; Mammalia; Carnivora; Felidae.